UAGCGAAGCUCUUGAUCAAAGCCCGAGUAAACGGCGGCCGUAACUAUAACGGUCCUAAGGUAGCGAAAUUCCUUGUCGGUUAAAUACCGACCUGCAUGAAUGGCGUAACGAGAUGGGAGCUGUCUCAAAGAGGGAUCCAGUGAAAUUGUAGUGGAGGUGAAAAUUCCUCCUACCCGCGGCAAGACGGAAAGACCCCGUGGACCUUUACUACAGCUUGACACUGCUACUUGGAUAAGAAUGUGCAGGAUAGGUGGGAGGCUUUGAGUAUAUGACGCCAGUUGUAUAUGAGCCAUUGUUGAGAUACCACUCUUUCUUAUUUGGGUAGCUAACCAGCUUGAGUUAUCCUCAAGUGGGACAAUGUCUGGUGGGUAGUUUGACUGGGGCGGUCGCCUCCCAAAUAAUAACGGAGGCUUACAAAGGUUGGCUCAGAACGGUUGGAAAUCG
Molecule: ribosomal RNA, 444 nt
Filed under: Campylobacter jejuni
Lineage: Bacteria; Pseudomonadati; Campylobacterota; Epsilonproteobacteria; Campylobacterales; Campylobacteraceae
Description: bacterial LSU rRNA
Rfam family: Bacterial large subunit ribosomal RNA
Source: RNAcentral